Molecule: long non-coding RNA, 8101 nt
Filed under: Solanum tuberosum (potato)
Lineage: Eukaryota; Viridiplantae; Streptophyta; Magnoliopsida; Solanales; Solanaceae
Description: long non-coding RNA (STUB_LNC008860)
Source: RNAcentral
UCCAAUUUCCCUAAUUAUUAUUUUAGGGUUCCUGGAUAGUGAUUGUUGGAGAAGAAACAAUAUAAUGGCGUCGAUGUCAAUUGGAAUCACCAGCCUGGAAGUCCGAUACAUCGUUAAUUCCAUUGGUGAUGACAUCAAUAUGUAUUGAGCGUGCUGGACCAAUAAUUUCGUUGCCGAAGAAAGUAAGUAUACCCACCUCAAGGUCACUUAGAACACCUCUAAUUACCUGUCCAUAGUUGUCCUCUUCUUAGAGUCAAUUUUGUUGAACAUUUGGUACAGAUUGAUUAAUAUAUUUGCCUGUGUAGGUUUGUCGGUAGAAAAUUUUGAAUAUUUGUUCAUUUACCUGUCGAUUUCCAUGUAUUUGAUUAGAAAUGGAUGCGAUUUAUGAUGAGUUCUAUGCACAUGUAUCACUAGUUCCAUACAAUCAGGUAUUCUAGAUACUUAAAUUUAGUUCAUUUAUUUAAUACAAGCAUUGUCAGGGAUGAUUUUACUCUGUUUUUAGCAUUGCUAUUUGAUAGAUUAAAUUGGAGCUUUAUUCAAGCAGAAAAAAGUAUAGAAUGAGGCAAAAUAAAAUAAGUUGGUUGGCUAGGAAGGUGGUAUUACGAACGACCAAAAUGGUCCUUGAUAUAUGAGGGUUGGAGCUUUUUGGUCCUUUAUAUAUAUCAUCUUAUUGAAAUAGUCCUUGAUGUAUAAAAAAAAAGGUGACUAUUUUGGUCUUUCUUCUUUCACCACCAUUAGAGGUGAUGCUCCAUUUUCAGUUUACCCACUUGUCAUAUUCUUGUAAUAUAUAUAUACACACACACACACACUACACUCAUUUGUUAGUUUCCCUCAGAAAUAAUAAUCCCCAGCAACUCCCAUUUUUAGACAGACAAAAAAAUUGAUCCAUUAAAAUAAAUAGUAUGAACUAAGUAAAUUAGAUAAAACACUCUAUUUCUCUUUUACGAGAUCUCCGUAAGUAAACUCUUUUCAAGUUUUAAAUAACUAUUCUCUCUUGUUGAAGGGAUUUAUGAGAAGAAUAUAGCUUUUUCUUGUUUCGUCAUUUUUAAGAUUAAUUAAUAACUUUUUUAUGUAUUAAUUUUUUAUUCCGUUGUUGACAUUAAAGGGUGAAAACGGAAUGAAUAAAGGUGAAAAAUAGAAUCUUAAAAUUUUCUUUGAGAUUUGAAGAGAUUUUUGUGUGUCAGUUUUUUUUCCUGGGAAAAUUUGGUUUAAAAAAGAAGAAGGAGGUAAUGGAGAGAAGAAUAAAUCAAUUGAAAAUUGCAGCAGAAGAAAGAAGAUUGAGGGAGAAGGGGUUUGCCAUGUGGCAAUUUUAUGGGACCCACAGUUAAGUAUAACAAAAAGUAUCACUUGUAUAGUUAGUUUUAGGGUUAAAGACCAAAAUUGUCAUAUUUUAUAUAAUUAAGGACUAUUUUAGUAAGGUAAUAUAUAUAAAGGACCAAGAAUAUUCAAGCCCCAUACAUCAAGGACCAUUUUGGUCGUUUUCUUGUGGUAUUACCAUUAACUUGGAUAUGUCACUCUCCUUUAGAGUUCUUGUUAAUAAAGUAAGCACUUGUUGAAAUGUUUGUACAUAAUAGGACUGCAACUUAUUGAAAUGCUUGUCGCCAUAGGACAUGAAAUUGUUACUGAUAAAAAUCCCUCGAGCUUAGCUUUACAAUAUUUUCUAACAUUCUAAGUUUUGUAACUUCUUGCCAUGGGGAUAUAGGGCUUCUCAAUUCUUGUAAGAAUAUUUUCCACUAGAUAUUUUGACACUUAAUAUUAGGCAAGUGGUUUUAGAAUUGGAUUUUGCAUCUAACACAUGUCUAAUGUACGUUAGACUACUAACUUUAGAUAUUCAACUAUUUGCUAGUCUCAUUCUUUUUCAUUUUGAGAAAUUGUUAUAAUUUCUGAUUGUGAGAAUCUCAUUUUAACACAAUGCCUUCGCAAUUUGCAGAGUAUGUAAAGAAUGAUUACUACAUUACAGGAGAAUCAUAUGCUGGGCACAUUUUUUGUUUCUUAAAUUGCCUGCAAUAUGUGGUAUGCACGAUUAGAGUUAUUUUACAUUGAAUAUUGGUGCUAGUACUAUGCUCCUUUUCUCAGUUUGAUUGUCCCAGAAUGACAAGAUUUUUGUGCUUCUGCUAAAUAUGGAUGCAGCUUUUCCAUCUCGGUUGUUUUCUGGUAUUAGUUCUAACAUAUACUCCCUCUGUCCCAAUUUAUGUGACACAUUUCACUUUUCGAGAGUCAAACAGUUUAAGUUUGAUCGAGAAUUUGCUCAUGAAAUUUAUAUAUUUGUAAACUACACAAAAAGUACUAUAAGUCUCAUUAAUUGAUAAUACAAAAUAUUUUUAAAAUAUAGGAAAAAUUUACGGUCAAAGAUAGACAUGUUUGAAUCUCGAUAUCCGAAAUGUGUCACAUAAAUUGGGACUGAGGAAGAGUAUUAAAGAACAGUGGAAAACAUGUUAUAAAGCCAUUUGGAUUCCUUGUAACUGUGAAUUUUUGCUUAAAACUCCUCUCAAAACUGUUCAUAAGAAUGAUACAGUAAGUGCCAGUUUUGUUCUGCAUAUCUUCAUUUUUGCGUUUCUUUAUAUAAAAAACACUAAUAAUACAUUUUCUUAAAGGCAAAGAAGGAUCAUAAGAACACAAAGGAAACAAAAACAAGUAAACUUAGAGGGGACGAUAUCAGCAACUAAAGCAUUUUUCUUAAAACGGAGAAAUCGAUGAAAUGAAAAGUUAACCGAUCUGAUGAAAGUGACAGAUGGUUUAGAAUAUUGCAAAGUAUGUGUGUACAUAUUUCCUUGUAUUUUGUGAUAGCCAAGUGAAAACUUUUGUAAUCUAACUACUCGAACUGAAUUGAGAGCUUUCUAGAACAAAUUCACAUUGUUACCAAUGGCAAGUUUUCAUUUCAAUCAAUUGAUCUUUUACAGAAUAGAACUGAACCUAUAUAAAGGAAUUUCUCAUCAAUUAUUCUAUCUCUAACUCACACAUGAAUCACAUGCCUUUAACAGAAUGAAUAACAGAAAGUUAACAACCUAACAGAAAGCUAACAACCUAAUAACAGAAAGUUAACAACCUAACAGAAAGCUAACAACCUAAUAACAGAAAGUUAACAACCUAACAGAAAGCUAACAACCUAAUAACAGAAAGUUAACAACCUAACAGAAAGCUAACAACCUAAUAACAGAAAGUUAACAACCUAACAGAAAGCUAACAACCUAAUAACAGAAAGUUAACAACCUAACAGAAAGCUAACAACCUAAUAACAGAAAGUUAACAACCUAACAGAAAGCUAACAACCUAAUAACAGAAAGUUAACAACCUAACAGAAAGCUAACAACCUAAUAACAGAAAGUUAACAACCUAACAGAAAGCUAACAACCUAAUAACAGAAAGUUAACAACCUAACAGAAAGCUAACAACCUAAUAACAGAAAGUUAACAACCUAACAGAAAGCUAACAACCUAAUAACAGAAAGUUAACAACCUAACAGAAAGCUAACAACCUAAUAACAGAAAGUUAACAACCUAACAGAAAGCUAACAACCUAAUAACAGAAAGUUAACAACCUAACAGAAAGCUAACAACCUAAUAACAGAAAGUUAACAACCUAACAACUUGACCAUUCUAUAUCUCAUUCCUCCCCCUCAAACUGUAGGGUGGAAAACGUCUAACACACCAAGUUUGGUCAAUAGGAAAUGAUGUUGAGCAGAACCUAACCCCUUGGUGAAGAUAUCAGCAGGUUGCAUAGCAGUGCAUAUGUAUUGGGGACUGAUAAAAUUUGAUUUCACCUUCUCACGGAUGAAGUGACAAUCAAUUUCUAUGUGUUUUGUACGCUCAUGGAACACUGGAUUCUCUGCUAUUUGGAUAGCUGAUUUGCUGUCUGUGAAUACUAGUAUUGGACUUGCAACUGGACAAUGUAGCUCCUUGAGUAAACCAGCUAACCAAACUAACUCUGCAACUAGAGCUGCCAAACUCCUAUAUUCUGCUUCAGCAGAGCUUCGACUGACAGUCUGUUGUUUUUUCGACUUCCAAGAAAUCAAUGAAUCUCCAAGUCUUACCAUGUACCCUGUGACUGAUCGCCUUGUAUUAGGACAUGAAGCCCAAUCUGAAUCACAAUAUCCAGUGAGUUUUGAGGGUUCAGUUCCCUUUUUCAGCAAAACUCCAAGUCCUGGAGACCUCUUUAUGUAUCUCACAACUCUUUCCUUUAGCAACUAAAUGAGCUUUGUAUCUGUCGACCUCACCAUUUGCUUUAUACUUGAUUUUAUACACCCACUUUGAUCCAAUGGCCUUUUCACCAGGAGGCAACUCUGCAAUAGUCCAGGUACCAUUAUCUUCCAAUGCCUGAACUUCUUGAUGCAUGGCUUCAACCCAUAGUUUGUCUUGAGAGGCCUCAUGGUAUGACUGAGGCUCUACUACUGCAGAAAAUGCAUGUAAAUAAUUCUGAUAAUCAGUAGAGAUGUUGUCAUAGCAAACAUGAUUAGUUAUGGUAUGAGGGUGAGACUUUUGGGGCACAAUGUAGUCUUUAAUCCAUACUGGUGGUUUGAUAGCUCUGCUAGUCUUUCUAGGACCAAUAUUGUCUUGUUGAAUGUCAUCUGGAUGCACAAGGAUCAUCAACAGGUAUAAGGUCAGCUUCUGCAGGUUCCACCAUCAUCUCAGCUUCUGCAGGUUCCACCACAGUCUCAUUUAAUGCAUCAGUAGGAGGAAGAAUAGGUGAUGUUGGCUGCAUAAUGGGGCUGAUUAUAGUCAUGUGUACCUGCAUCAUCUAUAAAUGGUGAUAAUAAAGGAUAAGGUCCCUCAUCUGACUUCAGAAGCUUGAAAGGAAACACCUCAUCUCUGAAGACCACAUCCCUGCUAAUGAACACAAUUCUUGUAUCCAAAUCAUACAGUCUAUACCCCUUUUGUAUGGAAGAAAAGCCCAACAAGACUGAUCUCUUUGCUUUAGCCUCAAAUUUGUCUCCUCUGGGCAGUGUACUCGCAAAACACAAACAUCCAAAAACUUUAAUGUGUUCUAUACUAGGAGGUUUCCCAAAUAACACCUCAUAAGGAGACUGUCCAUCCAAAACACCAGUAGGUAAUCUGUUAAGAAGAUAGACUGAUGUUUGUAUAAUCACCCCAGAAUCUACUAGGCACAUGAGAUUGCAACUUCAAUGCUCGUCCUACCUCCAAAAUGUGUCUAUGUUUCCUUUCAACCACACCAUUUUGUUGUGGGGUAUAAGGACAACUACUUUGAUGCACAAUGCCUAAUGAAGAAAAUAAAGUAUUAACUUGACUAUUGAAGAACUCAGUACCAUCGUCUGAUCUCACAGUUUUUAUUGAACAGCCAAAUUGAUUACAGAUCAUAGAAAAGAAACUUUUCAAUACAGCUCCUACUUCUUUCUUGGACUGUAACAAAGAGACCCAUGUAAAUCUACUGUAGUCAUCAACUAUAGUCAAGAAGUAAUGCUUUCUAUCAUAGGUGGGAUGCUGGUGAGGACCCCAGACAUCCAUGUGCAUAAGCUGAAACAAACUACUGGAUUUAGUUAUACUAGAAGGAAACUUCAGUCUACAUUGCUUGGCCAAAGGACAAAUCAUGCAUUCUUCUUUUAUACCAACAUCUACUUUAUUCUUCAAAAUGGAAAUGUGCUUCAUUACUUUCACAGAGGGAUGCCCCAAUCUGAGAUGCCACAACUUCAAAUCUGUCAUCCUAGUAUUUGUAACUACUGCUCCUGCUACUGAGAGUGCUUCAUGCUUGAGAAUGUAAAGACCUUCUUCUUCCUUACCAAUCCCAAUCACCUCCCCAGUAUUGAGAGCCUGCAUUGUACAUAGGUUAGGAUAAAAAGACACCACACAAUUCAGGUCCUUAGUCAGCUUAGAAACUGACAGCAGAUUGAAUCUAAAUUCUGGUACAUGUAGCACAUUUUCCAGCUUGUAUUUUUCCAAAAUCACUGCAUUUCCAAUGUGAUCUAUUUGGAUUUUAUUCCCUGUAGGUACUUGCACUUUAUUAGGAUUUGACUCUGUUAAGUGUUUGCAAUCAUGAAGAAUCUUAUCACAAUAAGUAACAUGAUGUGUAGCCCCAGAAUCAAUGAUCCACUUCAAAUUUGCUACAUUCACAUUAUCAUGAUUAACAUUCAUACCUGUAACUGCAUUCGCUUUACAACUUCCUGUGGGCUGAGAAACCAUCAUCUUCAGCACUUGAUCAUAGUGUUCCUUUGUGAAAUAACCACCUGGAAAAUGGAAGUGAGAAGAAUUACCUCCUCCUGAAGUAGAUGAGCCAGCUUCAGCUGUUGAUACAUGAGCAUGAGACAUGAUAUCCUCAUCAGUAGACACUCUCCUUUUGCUUUUGAAAUCAGUAGGAAAACCUACAAUCCUGUAGCAAGUCUCUUUUGUAUGGCCUUUGUAUCCACAGUGUUCACAGAUCACACCUGAUUUCCUUCCUUGUGAGACAUGAGCUUGAUUCUUCUUCGACUGAGAAGUAUUAGGUGGAUACUGAGAAUUUUGUGGCUGAUUAUUGAAUCUCGAACCUCUUCCUGCUAGCAUAGUCAUUGGAUCCUUUCCUCCUUCCAUCAAACCUAGCUUCCUUUGGCUUUCCUCUUGAAUAGCCAUUGCAUAGGCUUGAUUCACACUUGGGACUGGUGAACCAAGCAGAAUUGAACUCCUGACUUGAGCAUAGCUCUCAUUCAAUCCUACUAAAAAUUGCAAUAACCUCUGUUGUCUAAUGUGCUCAACAUAAGAAUUCAACUCAUGAAAAAUUCCACAAAUGAAAAAUUCUAGUCAAGUUAGAUUUAUCAAACCUCUCCUUGAAGUCGCUCCAGAUCUUCCUCGCACUCGAUGCAUACACAAUGCUGGUUAAUAGCUCUGGUGCUACUGUUGCACUGAUCCACGAUAACACAACUGCAUCACACCUUUCCCAUCUGAUUGCCAAAUCUCCUUUGUACGUGCUCUUAACACAGGUGCCAUCAACAAAUCCAAGUUUGUUUUUUACUAGUAGUGCAAGGCGCAUUGAUCUACUCCACAGUCCAUAAUUCUAUGGACCUGUAAGCUUCAUUGGAAUUAAGGCAACACCAGGGGUAUCAGAUGACUGUAGAUGUGAGUCUGGUGGCUCAACUUCUAAACUUUCUAUAUCUAAUUUAGGGCGAAAUCCUAAAAUUGAGAGAAACUGGGAAGCGAUAGGAGAAGAGAAGUAUGGAUGCAGAAAGGAUAGUGACAUUACUAACCACGGAACUGCUCCCAUUUCUACUGAAAAGGAACCGAUAUAGACCUGGCGUUUGAGAACUAAGUAUUAGAUAAACUGGAAUGAGGGAGGGUUGGGGUUGGGGUCGGGGUAAGUGAAAACUUUUGUAAUCUAACUACUCGAACUGAAUUGAGAGCUUUCUAGAACAAAUUCACAUUGUUACCAAUGGCAAGUUUUCAUUUCAAUCAAUUGAUCUUUUACAGAAUAGAACUGAACCUAUAUAAAGGAAUUUCUCAUCAAUUAUUCUAUCUCUAACUCACACAUGAAUCACAUGCCUUUAACAGAAUGAAUAACAGAAAGUUAACAACCUAACAGAAAGCUAACAACCUAAUAACAGAAAGUUAACAACCUAACAACUUGACCAUUCUAUAUCUCAAUACAAGGUAAGUACAACAACAAACAUAAUAGUAGGCCAUUUGUGACAGUAUUCCCUUUGUUCUUUACUAAAUGAGUUUAGCUUAUAAUCUCAAUGGUCUAAAAUGACGCAUUAUGUUUAACAUUUGUGUCAUGAAAAGACUUACUUUGGUCUAAAAUGAUGCAUCAUGUUUAACAUUUGUGUCGUUCGACUUAGUUUAUUUUAAAUAACGAGUUUUUUAAAUCUUCGGUUAUGAUAUAUUCAUCUACUUUUGCUUGAUAUGAUGGCUCGUCUUGUCCUAAACAUAUUAUCUUCUUUCUCUGUUGAUGAUUGCAGGAAAUAGAGAAUUGAAAUGUAUUUUAUAUCUAUGUUUGAGAACUUGCAAAUUACCUGAUUUUGCUUUAUAUUGUGUUGGCAAAAUUUAUCACAGCCAACAAUAUUACCGAUGUCUCUAAGCCUUAAAGUAAUAGAAGAGUAGAUCUCGAAUGCAGAAUCUUGAAUAUAUGUUGAUACAACGAAAGGUUUAAAUAGCCAGGUUAGUUAGUUUCAUUGACUUCACACCCC